AUUCUGGGUAGUGUCUUCUAACUGGC
Molecule: non-coding RNA, 26 nt
Filed under: Cricetulus griseus (Chinese hamster)
Lineage: Eukaryota; Metazoa; Chordata; Mammalia; Rodentia; Cricetidae
Source: RNAcentral